Molecule: ribosomal RNA, 446 nt
Filed under: uncultured bacterium
Lineage: Bacteria
Description: bacterial SSU rRNA
Rfam family: Bacterial small subunit ribosomal RNA
Source: RNAcentral
CGCCAGACUCCUACGGGAGGCAGCAGUGGGGAAUAUUGCACAAUGGGGGAAACCCUGAUGCAGCGACGCCGCGUGAGUGAAGAAGUAUUUCGGUAUGUAAAGCUCUAUCAGCAGGGAAGAAAAUGACGGUACCUGACUAAGAAGCCCCGGCUAACUACGUGCCAGCAGCCGCGGUAAUACGUAGGGGGCAAGCGUUAUCCGGAUUUACUGGGUGUAAAGGGAGUGUAGGUGGCAUAACAAGUCAGAAGUGAAAGCCCGGGGCUCAACCGCGGGACUGCUUUUGAAACUGUUAAGCUUGAGUGCAGGAGAGGUAAGCGGAAUUCCUAGUGUAGCGGUGAAAUGCGUAGAUAUACGGAGGAACACCAGUGGCGAAGGCGGAUUGCUGGACAGUAACUGACGCUGAGGCGCGAAAGCGUGGGGAGCAAACAGGAUUAGAUACCCGCGUA